CCCAUGCAAGACAAGGAACUUAUCUCCUUCAUCCUAGCUGACCUCGACCUUGACUAAGACCCUCUGGUAUCUGCCCUUGAUGCACGCACUGAGCCCAUCACUCUUGAUGCUUUAUACUCGCAGAUGGCAAACUUUGAUC
Molecule: non-coding RNA, 139 nt
Organism: Hordeum vulgare subsp. vulgare (domesticated barley)
Lineage: Eukaryota; Viridiplantae; Streptophyta; Magnoliopsida; Poales; Poaceae
Source: Rfam